Molecule: ribosomal RNA, 495 nt
Filed under: uncultured bacterium
Lineage: Bacteria
Description: partial 16S ribosomal RNA
Rfam family: Bacterial small subunit ribosomal RNA
Source: RNAcentral
GACGAACGCUGGCGGCGUGCCUAAUACAUGCAAGUCGAACGCGGAAGGAGGAGCUUGCUCUUCUGGAUGAGUUGCGAACGGGUGAGUAACGCGUAGGUAACCUGCCUGGUAGCGGGGGAUAACUAUUGGAAACGAUAGCUAAUACCGCAUAACAGUAGAUGUUGCAUGACAUUUGCUUAAAAGGUGCAAUUGCACCACUACUAAAUGGACCUGCGUUGUAUUAGCUAGGUGGGGGGGUAACGGCUCACCAAGGCGACGAUGAAUAGCCGACCAGAGAGGGUGCUCGGCAUAACUGGGAUGGGAGCAUGGCCCAGAACCCUGAGGGAGGGAGAAGGAGGGAAUUUUCGGAAAAGGCAGGAAGGCUGAACGAGCAACGACGGGGGAGUGAAGAAGGCUUUCGGAUCGUAAAGCUCUGUUGUAAGAGAAGAAAGAGUGUGAGAGUGGAAAGUUCACACUGUGACGGUAUCUUACCAGAAAGAGACGGCUAACUACGUG